Molecule: long non-coding RNA, 944 nt
Filed under: Vulpes vulpes (red fox)
Lineage: Eukaryota; Metazoa; Chordata; Mammalia; Carnivora; Canidae
Description: lncRNA (ENSVVUG00000022636.1)
Source: RNAcentral
GAAUACCCUGCGUAGCAACCGCAGACUCACAUCUCAGUAAUCAUGUGAUCAUGGCCAAGUUCACUGACUGUCCUGAGUCUCAUUCUCUUCUUGUACCAUUCUCCUCUUUGUAACAUAUACAAAAGAUACAAAACUUACUAUCUACUUACCCAGAUGAUAUUUAGAAAUUCUAGGCCUAUGUUACUAGAAGCUACUGAGUAGUUUUGUGCCACACCACUGAGGGAAAGAAGCAGAUUUCAUUCUAUCAUUACUUUCUCAACAGCAACUCCAGGAGAAAAUUGUGCCAUGAGCCAAGCCCAUGGAAGCUUAAGGCGAACCCUGCUAACACUGAGAGGGUUUGACAGAUGUGAUUUACAGUGAUUAUUACAGACUCAGCAAGAAAUGCAGAGGGCCUCAGGGAGACAUAUUAGUAUAGUAAUUAACAGGGGCUGCUUCAACAAAACCAACCUGAACUCUCAGUGGUUUGGCCUAUUAAAAGUUCAUCGCUGUUGCUGCUGCUCCAGUAAAGUUGGACAUGAGUCAGGAGGCUGUCCUCCAUCUUGCAACCAGGAACUUGAAAAUGUGACACCCAGACCAUUGCAACAGCGGAGAGGAGUUUAGAUGGGAAAGUGACCCAUUUCCUCUCAAGUGAACCAGGAAGGCUGCACCUGCAUGUCAGGCAAGAGCCUCAGGAAUUGUGUUUGCUACUGUCUCCCAGAACUUGGCACACAGUACCAUCCUCAGACUCAGCAGCUAAGACCCUUGAACUGGCCCCAGAGGACCUGCCUUGGGCCCUUGAAGCUGUACCCUCCCUGUGGGGUAAGGAGUUCACAGGGCCAAGCCCAUCCAGAGCUACUGCCUCCCCUUCUAGACUACACCCUGGGGAACUCCAGAGCUGGGAGUUUCCUGGCCACGUGGCCCUAAAGUACUUCUAGGGCUUGUGUGAGAUUCAUCUUUUCAAGGGC